AUACGGAGGAUCCGAGCGUUAUCCGGAUUUAUUGGGUUUAAAGGGUGCGCAGGCGGCCAUUUAAGUCGGCGGUUAAAUCGUGGGGCUCAACCCCAUUCUGCCGUUGAUACUGGGUGGCUUGAUUGCGGUCGAGGUUGGCGGAAUUCGUUGUGUAGCGGUGAAAUGCAUAGAUAUGACGAAGAACACCGAUUGCGUAGGCAGCUGACCAGACCGCAAAUGACGCUCAUGCACGAAAGUGCGGGGAUCGAACAGGAUUAGAUACCCUGGUAGUCCGCACAGUAAACGAUGGACACCCGCGGUUUGGCCUGUAUGGCUGAGCCGCCAAGCGAAAGCGUUAAGUGUCCCACCUGGGGAGUACGCCGGCAACGGUGAAACUCAAAGGAAUUGACGGGG
RNAcentral lists this ribosomal RNA (393 nucleotides) under uncultured bacterium. Its description in RNAcentral is "partial 16S ribosomal RNA". It matches the Rfam family "Bacterial small subunit ribosomal RNA", at positions 523 to 918 of the family's 1533-position model. The record is from RNAcentral.